GCCGUAAAAUAUGUAUAACUUUCCCAGAAAUGGAAUAUAUAUAUAUAUAUAUUAAUUCAUGCUUCACAUAUCCAUAUACAUAAGUAUGCCAUGUCAAAAUAUAAAACAGAAUAAAUAACUCAGGUGAAAUUAAAUUCAUGGAAAAUAACAUAUUAGCCGCAACCUUGCAAAGGUCUAUACGGCUGAAUUCAUAGCUUAUUAGUCAAUCUAGCCGGAGUCAUCGCAAGUGACCUAUACGGCACUACACUGCACACGAGUCGGAACCACUGUAAAGGUCUGUACUACAAGACUGGGUGUAAUAUAGUUAUGAUCAAUGCUACGCUCUCAUAUAACAAAACAUAACUCACAUGGUACUUACCUGAGCGUCCAUAGCACCAAGUCUUAUUAUACAUCAUAUACUAAUUCAUAUGCUGAAUAUAAAUUUAUAUGCAUGGCAUUUCAAAGCAUACUUUCAUUUAAACACAUUUUCUGGGAAAAUAUCAAGUAUAUAAAUAUAUACUGAAAACCAAAAACCCACUCACUGGUAUGUCGAAGAGUCGUAGCCCCCGAGCCGCCAUUGAUUGCGCUCGUCCUCGGGAUAGGUCUCCCCUAUAUGCGAAACAACUAAAUAAACGUUAAUUAAAGCACACAGACAAAACUAGUUAAUAACUUCUCAUUCAUUACUCAAAUGAGAUGUUUGAAUAUACCAACGUGAUCUACACAACCUCACGAACAUCCCCAU
RNAcentral lists this long non-coding RNA (721 nucleotides) under Malus domestica (apple). Its description in RNAcentral is "long non-coding RNA (MDOM_LNC005831)". Lineage: Eukaryota; Viridiplantae; Streptophyta; Magnoliopsida; Rosales; Rosaceae. The record is from RNAcentral.